Molecule: small RNA, 1932 nt
Filed under: Pan troglodytes (chimpanzee)
Lineage: Eukaryota; Metazoa; Chordata; Mammalia; Primates; Hominidae
Description: processed transcript
Source: RNAcentral
GACAAAUCGGUGGAGGACGGCUGGGGUCCGGCCCCGGGAGGGGGCGGGGCGCGUUUAAGAGCUGCGGGCCGGGUGCGGACGGCGGAGGCGGCGGGACUGGUCCCUGCUCUUCAGUGGGUCAUCUGUGUGUCACAGCCUCAGAAGACCAGCGAGAUGGCUGCCAACAAGAGUAAGGGCCAGAGCUCCUUGGCCCUCCACAAGCAACUGCCGAAUUCAGGGAACAGAUUCUCCGUGUGAAGGCUGAAGAAGAUAAAAUUCCACUGCUCGUCGUGGGAAACAAGUCUGACCUAGAGGAGCGGAGGCAGGUGCCUGUGGAGGAGGCCAGGAGUAAAGCCGAAGAGUGGGGCGUGCAGUACGUGGAGACGUCAGCGAAGACCCGGGCCAACGUGGACAAGGUGUUCUUUGACCUAAUGAGAGAAAUCAGAACAAAGAAGAUGUCAGAAAACAAAGACAAGAAUGGCAAGAAAAGCAGCAAGAACAAGAAAAGUUUUAAAGAAAGAUGUUGCUUACUAUGAGUGUCAAGGUGACGGAUGAAGCCAGCUGCUCCUAAGGACACAGGGCUGGGUUGGUAAAGAGAAGGCUAUGGUUAACUUCUUGCUUGUGCUUCCCACUCUCCCCAACUUCAUUCACUCAAACUUCUUUAAAUGGGGAAAAAUAUUUGUGACUCAGUGGCUGGCAGAAGAAAUAAGCCCAUGCAAGUGGAAGGGCUGCUUUGUCAGGAGGUUGUGGAGUUUCUUUCUUCUCCCCUUCUUCCCUCCCAAAAGCUUAGCUAUGUAUGAAGUGCCACAGAUAGGAAACAGCUGUUAAUUACAAAGAGAAAGAAUUGUCAUAGCAUCUUAUUUUGUUCCUAGUUUUAUAACAUUACCAUCCUUCGUUUCGAACUACAGAUGUUGUAGUGGGUUUCGGAGGAGGGAGUGGAGUAAGAUGCCUUCCCACUUUUAUCAGUUUAGUAGUAGUACUGAGAAAAAUCCCUUCAGCUCUAAGAACACUGAAAAAUCCACCGAUUUUUUGGGUAAGCUUCUUGGCAAUACCCUGUGGAUCUGAAACAGCUAAAGAAAUGAAUUUGAAUUGCGCCAGAUAGGUCAAUACCAAGCUUCUGAUUCCUCCUCACAUAUGAAAAGUGAAAGUUGUGAGUUGUUUUCCUCUUAUUUAAACAUUGGCCUAUUAUAAUCUGUGUUGGUUAUUUUUCUCCUGUAAGCAUCCUGAUUUUUAUGUAGGAACUUUUCUUUGGCAGACCAAGUGAAGACUCAGGAAUGGUGUGCAUUAUAAAUGACACACGUUGCCACUCGUGUAGAUAUUUUUAAGUUCUUUGGCUAAGUCCUCUCCUAACUGCCUGUCCUCUGGUUAGGCCCCUCCCUCUCCACUAGUGGUGAAUGCAUGUGUCUGUCUGAUCAGCAUCACUGCACACGGAGGUCUAGUGAGCCUCUUGCUAAGUGUCACACACACUCUUCCCAAAGACGUGAUGAGUUAAAGUUGUAUUCUGAAAUCGUGAAGCCAGAGCCUGUGCCAGACCUUCUGCUACCUCUCAUAGAAUUGCUCUGUAAUUCUAAAUUUAAAAUUAGAAGUAGAGAGAGAUAAAGCCAUCGCCCCUUUGCCUCUGAGAAUUGGCUGCUGUUUCUAAUAUAAUUAUUUUCUAAGAUAGCCAGAUAGUUAGAAAAAGAUUUUCAUUGAUGACAUAUCUUUAAACUUUCUUGCAUCAGUAUUCUAAAUUGAGCAAACUAAAAGAUUUUCAUCAGGAAAGGAGCACUGUGGUAAAAGCCCAGUAUUCACAUUUUUUCCCCAUUUUUCAGAAGCAACACUUCAUAUAUAGGUGCCAAAAGUGAAUCGGGGUGCGGAGAGUGGGAACCUUUUGAAUUUAUGAUUAUCACAGAGAUGGUAGAAAUUAUGAUCUGACUGGAAAACAAUCCUGUAUCCCCUCCCAAAGAAUCAUGG